This 27-nucleotide small RNA is filed under the name Bombyx mori (domestic silkworm). RNAcentral's name for it is "ovarian small RNA-33175". Lineage: Eukaryota; Metazoa; Arthropoda; Insecta; Lepidoptera; Bombycidae. The record is from RNAcentral.
UGAUUUAGGUAAUCUCCUGUCUAAAGU